Molecule: small nucleolar RNA, 108 nt
Organism: Juglans microcarpa x Juglans regia
Lineage: Eukaryota; Viridiplantae; Streptophyta; Magnoliopsida; Fagales; Juglandaceae
Source: RefSeq, a predicted model, not a curated record
UACCCAUGAUGAGGAUAAGCAUUCAAUAAGUCUUUAAACCUUUCCUAACAUUGAUAAAAGGUUUCACUAUCUUUGUGCCCAAACUUCAUGAUUUGCCUUCAUAGGGCA